UACGGGGGGGGCAAGCGUUGUUCGGAAUUACUGGGCGUAAAGGGCUCGUAGGUGGCCAACUAAGUCAGACGUGAAAUCCCUCGGCUUAACCGGGGAACUGCGUCUGAUACUGGAUGGCUAGAGAUUGGGAGAGGGAUGCGGAAUUCCAGGUGUAGCGGUGAAAUGCGUAGAUAUCGGGAGGAAUACCAGUGGCGAAGGCGGCUUCUUGGCCUGUUCUUGACGCUGAGGCGCGAAAGCUGGGGGAGCAAACGGG
Molecule: ribosomal RNA, 253 nt
Filed under: uncultured bacterium
Lineage: Bacteria
Description: partial 16S ribosomal RNA
Rfam family: Bacterial small subunit ribosomal RNA
Source: RNAcentral